AGCUAAUACUUGCUUUAGCACUCUUGAUUAGGUUCUUGAGUGUGUACUUGUUAAGCCUUUUAAGAAAAAAGUUAUUAACUUAAGGAAUUAUAACAAAGAAGUAACACGUAAUGGAUCCGUCCAUUUUUAGUGUGUAUCAAUCGAGUUUCUGACCUAUCAGCUUUUGAUGUUAGGGUAUUGGCCUAACAUGGCUAUGACGGGUAACGGGGAAUUAGAGUUCGAUUCCGGAGAGGGAGCCUGAGAAAUAGCUACCACAUCUAAGGAAGGCAGCAGGCGCGUAAAUUACCCAAUUCUAAAGAAGAGAGGUAGUGACAAGAAAUAACAAUACAAGGCCAAUCUGGCUUUGUAAUUGGAAUGAUGGGAAUUUAAAACCUUCCCAAAACUCAAUUGGAGGGCAAGUCUGGUGCCAGCAGCCGCGGUAAUUCCAGCUCCAAUAGCGUAUAUUAAAAUUGUUGCAGUUAAAACGCUCGUAGUUGAAUUUCAAAGAAUCGAUAUUUUAAGUAACGCUUUUAGCUUAAUCCACAUAACUGAUACUACGUAUCGACUUUGUGCGCAUUUUGCUAUUAUGUGUUCUUUUAAUUAAAAUGAUUCUUUUUAAGGUCUUUCUUUUGCUCCGGCAUUUGAAGAUCUUGUUACUUUGAGUAAAUUAGAGUGUUCAAAGCAAACAGAUAUAGCAUUGCGCGUUUGAAUACUACAGCAUGGAAUAACAAAAUUGAACAAGUCAGAAUUUUGUUCUUUUUUCUUAUUUUGGCUUAGUUACGAUUAAUAGGAGUAGCUUGGGGGCAUUUGUAUUCAGAUGUCAGAGGUGAAAUUCUUAGAUUUUCUGGAGACAAACAACUGCGAAAGCAUUUGCCUAAAAUACUUCCAUUAAUCAAGAACGAAAGUUAAGGGAGUGAAGACGAUCAGAUACCGUCGUAAUCUUAACCAUAAACUAUGCCGACUAGGCUUUGGAUGAAAGAUUUUAAAAUAAGA
RNAcentral lists this ribosomal RNA (972 nucleotides) under Plasmodium cynomolgi. RNAcentral describes it as "SSU rRNA". It matches the Rfam family "Eukaryotic small subunit ribosomal RNA", at positions 162 to 1077 of the family's 1831-position model. The record is from RNAcentral. Lineage: Eukaryota; Apicomplexa; Aconoidasida; Haemosporida; Plasmodiidae.